This 542-nucleotide ribosomal RNA is filed under the name uncultured Alphaproteobacteria bacterium. RNAcentral describes it as "bacterial SSU rRNA". It matches the Rfam family "Bacterial small subunit ribosomal RNA", at positions 38 to 624 of the family's 1533-position model. Lineage: Bacteria; Pseudomonadati; Pseudomonadota; Alphaproteobacteria. The record is from RNAcentral.
GGCGGCAGGCCUCAAACAUGCAAGUCUAGGGGGUGUAGCAAUACAUCACCGGCGGACGGGUGCGUAACACGUGGGAAUAUACCUUUUGGUUCGGAACAACGCAGGGAAACUUGCGCUAAUACCGAAUGUGCCCUUACGGGGAAAGAUUUAUCGCCAAAGGAUUAGCCCGCGUCCGAUUAGCUAGUUGGUGAGGUAACGGCUCACCAAGGCUCCGAUCGGUAGCUGUUCUGAGAGGAAGAUCAGCCACACUGGGACUGAGACACGGCCCAGACUCCUACGGGAGGCAGCAGUUGGGAAUCUUGGACAAUGGGGGAAACCCUGAUCCAGCCAUGCCGCGUGAGUGAUGAAGGCCUUCGGGUUGUAAAACUCUUUCGACGGGGACGAUAAUGACGGUACCCGUAGAAGAAGCUCCGGCUAACUUCGUGCCAGCAGCCGCGGUAAUACGAAGGGGGCUAGCGUUGUUCGGAAUUACUGGGCGUAAAGCGCGCGCAGGCGGUCUUCCAAGUCAGUGGUGAAAGCCCGGAGCUCAACUCCGGAAAUGC